UUGGCCUACGGGAGGCAGCAGUGGGGGAUAUUGCACAAUGGGGUAAACCCUUAUUCAGCUACGCCGCUUUAUUGAAGAAGUAUUUCGGUAUGUAAAGCUCUAUCAGCAGGGAAGAAAAAUGACGGUACCUGAGUAAGAAGCACCGGCUAAAUACGUGCCAGCAGCCGCGGUAAUACGUAUGGUGCAAGCGUUAUCCGGAUUUACUGGGUGUAAAGGGAGCGUAGGCGGCGCGUUAAGUCUGAUUGU
This 246-nucleotide ribosomal RNA is filed under the name uncultured bacterium. Its description in RNAcentral is "partial 16S ribosomal RNA". It matches the Rfam family "Bacterial small subunit ribosomal RNA", at positions 334 to 596 of the family's 1533-position model. The record is from RNAcentral.